AAUGGGGGAAACCCUGACGCAGCGACGCCGCGUGAGUGAUGAAGGCCUUCGGGUCGUAAAGCUCUGUCGUAUGGGACUAAUAAAUGAAGGUACCAUGCAAGAAAGGAUCGGCUAACUUCGUGCCAGCAGCCGCGGUAAGACGAGGGAUCCUAGCGUUGUUCGGAAUCAUUGGGCGUAAAGCGGGUGUAGGCGGCUCUAUAAGUCAGGUGUGAAAUCCCAGGGCUCAACCCUGGACGUGCAUUUGAUACUGUGGAGCUUGAGUGUGGGAGAGGCUACCGGAAUUCCUGGUGUAGUGGUGAAAUACGUAGAUAUCAGGAGGAACAUCGGAGGCGAAGGCGGGUAGCUGGCCCAACACUGACGCUCAGACCCGAAAGCGUGGGGAUCAAA
This 387-nucleotide ribosomal RNA is filed under the name uncultured bacterium. Its description in RNAcentral is "bacterial SSU rRNA". It matches the Rfam family "Bacterial small subunit ribosomal RNA", at positions 370 to 772 of the family's 1533-position model. The record is from RNAcentral.